CCCAAUUCUCCAUAGGCUCUAUAAACAGUGGGGUGACCCACCUCCCCCCCUCUUUUGGCUUUAGAGACACCACAGUUCCACCCCUAGGUUGCAUCUCCUGUCUGGCGCUGUAGAGGUAUGAUGAUGAUGGUUCACUGUCCUUGUUCUCCCUCUGUGGUACAGGAGUUGGUACUGAGUUAGUGGAGUUUCAUGGAGGAGAUGAUAAGAAAUUUGACCCAAUCCCAAAAUUAAAACAGUGAAGACAACAGGCAAAACGACGGGAGCUCUGAUAAUGGAGGUUUGGUUUGACAGCAGCAGACCUGGUCAGGAGAUCUUGCCUGUUUCUCACUCCCCUUAUUCCCAGGAUUUUCCCUUCCAGAGCGCAGGAAUCAUGAAGCAGUACGACCACAAGGAGACACUGAAGUCCUAAUUCGAAAACACAAAGGUCAGGUGUGACUUCUCCGAGGUGGACAAGUGCUUCCACCAGGUUGCAGCCAACGUCGAUGUCGACCUCAUCCUGCAGAAAUACCUGGGAGACGCUGUGACCGAGAUCUGUGAAAAGCAGCCUCCACAGCCCAGGAGGCACAUUAUCCAGGUGGACGAGGCUUUCAAAGAGAACCAGCUGUCCACCCCUUCCUUUCCUGGACCUCGGCGCCCCUGGGCCCUCCUUCUUCACUCACCUGUGACCCCCCUGAGCUCAUUAAACUCCCUGCCGACUGCUCCAUGCCGCCCCAUCAACCCCCGAAAGAGUCCUCUCCUUUGAGGAACAUCAGAGCUCCUGAGAUUCAGAAACAGUGUCCAGGUGCAAAGAGGCGUGCUUUCCAAGUCAGCCCUGAAAAGAUGAAGAGGACAACAUGUCCACCUCUUCCAAUCCUGACACUGACCCGUCCCAGGUCACUGCCCCACUGUCCAGCCAGCUGCCUGUCCACAGACCCCUCCAUCACCUCCCUCCCAUCACCUCUCAGUAGAAGACUGAGGUGAAGAAGACUAAGAAGAGGAAGAAGAGGCAGAGGAAGCAGGAGAGUCAGGAAGGUCCGAGUACUAAAGACAAGGCUCCAGAGUUGCUGAAAGUCAGAACACAGGUGCUGAGACACCUAGAGGACCCUGUAGCUCCUGUGAUUCUAGGAGAGUUGAGGAGUGAACCUUUACUGUAGUGUCCAGUCAGUGUGUCUGUAUGAACCCCUCUCUCUCUCAGUGCAGUGUUAAUG
Molecule: non-coding RNA, 1187 nt
Organism: Lepisosteus oculatus (spotted gar)
Lineage: Eukaryota; Metazoa; Chordata; Actinopteri; Semionotiformes; Lepisosteidae
Source: RefSeq, a predicted model, not a curated record